This 467-nucleotide ribosomal RNA is filed under the name uncultured bacterium. Its description in RNAcentral is "partial 16S ribosomal RNA". It matches the Rfam family "Bacterial small subunit ribosomal RNA", at positions 28 to 507 of the family's 1533-position model. The record is from RNAcentral.
GACGAACGCUGGCGGCGUGCUUAACACAUGCCAGUCGAACGGAAAGGCCCUGCUUUUGUGGGGUGCUCGAGUGGCGAACGGGUGAGUAACACGUGAGUAACCUGCCCUUGACUUUGGGAUAACUUCAGGAAACUGGGGCUAAUACCGGAUAGGAGCUCCUGCUGCAUGGUGGGGGUUGGAAAGUUUCGGCGGUUGGGGAUGGACUCGCGGCUUAUCAGCUUGUUGGUGGGGUAGUGGCUUACCAAGGCUUUGACGGGUAGCCGGCCUGAGAGGGUGACCGGCCACAUUGGGACUGGGAUACGGCCAAGACUCCUACGGGAGGCAGCGGUGGGGAAUAUUGCACAAUGGGCGGAAGCCUGAUGCAGCAACGCCGCGUGCGGGAUGACGGCCUUCGGGUUGUAACCGCUUUCGCCUGUGACGAAGCGUGAGUGACGGUAAUGGGUAAAGAAGCACCGGCUAACUACGUG